CAGAAUCCUUCUUCAGGUAAACUCUGCAAAGACUACGGCGUUCUGAAGUGGUUGGCAGUAUUGGGUCAUCGACUAGUGAUGGUUGAGUCGUCUUCAUCUGUCUCACAGAUUCCACUCCUGGCAGUUUAUCUAACUCCACAGGCCUCCUUCAUCACAACAGAUCUCCAGCUGUCAUAGCAGCCUUCCUCCUAGUGACCACAGCGAGAAGGGUUCCUCACCAACACACCAGGCCCUCCGAGGAAGCAGGAAAAGCGGCGCUCCAUUUUCCCUCACUUUCUGCCCUAUUUUGCUAGACUCGUAUCAGCACAGGUAAUACGGAC
RNAcentral lists this long non-coding RNA (320 nucleotides) under Takifugu rubripes (torafugu). RNAcentral's name for it is "lncRNA (ENSTRUG00000028167.1)". The record is from RNAcentral. Lineage: Eukaryota; Metazoa; Chordata; Actinopteri; Tetraodontiformes; Tetraodontidae.